UCCUCCUGCGCACAGUUUCUUUCUUCUUCUUUUUCUUCCUUAUCUCCAUUUCUCUCUCUCUCCAUAUUCUUUUCUUUCCCUCUCUCUUAAUUUUCUCUCCCAAUCUUCAUCUAUUUUAGAAUCUGAUUAGACCAUGUUGUAGCUGACGAGUUAAGGAACAUUUCUACCGAUCAGAUUUUCAAACAGAGUAAGUUCAUUUUUACUCUAAAUAUCCUUUGUUCUCUGUUUUUCCUUAGGAUUUAGUCAUCAAUCUUGGUGGGGUCAGUUGAGAAGUUUAAUCCUCUCAACUUAUUCUAUUAUAUACUGAAAUUUUGUUUUGUUUGGAUAAUUUGCAUUAGGCCCGUAAAUCUUGAAGUCUAUCCAAACGGUGAGGAAUAAAAUUCUAAAAGUUGCUUGGAAAGCAAGCAAUUGAGGUAAGGGAAGCUAAAUUUAAUUUUUAAUAGCACCCUAGGAUAGAAGAUCUGAAUGCAGAAGGGACGUGGUCCCAAUAUUCAAUUUCUCUUGCAGGGAUGUUGUGUGCUUAUUUAUAUUGGGUUGUUUGUUUAUAUAUUAUUUAAAUUUGUGGAAAUAUUGGAUUUUGAUGAUUUAUUAUUAAAGUGUUAUUUUUUUAUGUCAAAUAAACUUUUGAAUAUUGUGGAUAACUUUUUGAAUGAUAUUGUAUGACAGAAUGGUAUGGAAUUGAAUUCAUACAUUUGGGAUAAUGUAUGGACUGAUGUUUGUUGUGUAUUAAGUAUUGAUGCCUAUGUGGUAACAGAGAUCUCAGAGCUUCACUGAUGAUUUAAGUCACAUAGACUAAGAUAUCAGGUGGUGAGAAGCUGAUGGGGGAGUUCAUGCACACCGUGACAUAUGAGAUGCACGGCUUGGGUUGUAUUGAACUUACCCUGAUCCUUUCUGUUGGAUUCGCUGGUAAUCUUUGGAUCAGGUGUUAGUCUCUGGUAGGACUUACUUAAUAAGGGUCUUCCGGAAGACGUUGUUUGUUGAACAUUCUAGAUGUGUAGAUCCAUGUGAGAUCUAUGUGAUUGUUUAUUGUUGAGAUUUGAAGAAAUUUGAAUAAUUUGAGAAAUUGAUCAUGUAAUUUGGUUUUCUUUUUUGAUUUAAUUGUGUAUAUUAUAAAAUUCUAUUUUCA
This 1126-nucleotide long non-coding RNA is filed under the name Phaseolus vulgaris (common bean). RNAcentral's name for it is "long non-coding RNA (PVUL_LNC003397)". The record is from RNAcentral. Lineage: Eukaryota; Viridiplantae; Streptophyta; Magnoliopsida; Fabales; Fabaceae.